Molecule: ribosomal RNA, 494 nt
Filed under: uncultured bacterium
Lineage: Bacteria
Description: bacterial SSU rRNA
Rfam family: Bacterial small subunit ribosomal RNA
Source: RNAcentral
AGAGUUUGAUUAUGGCUCAGGAUGAACGCUGGCGGCGUGCCUAAUACAUGCAAGUCGAACGGAGUAUAUAGCAAUAUGUACUUAGUGGCGAACGGGUGAGUAACGCGUUGGUGACCUGCCCCUUAGAGAGGGAUAACAGUCCGAAAGGGCUGCUAAUACCCCAUGACGUUUCGAGGAUUAGAAGCUUGAAACCAAAGGAGAAAUCCGCUAAGGGAGGGGCCUGCGUCCCAUCAGCUAGUUGGUAGGGUAAAGGCCUACCAAGGCAAUGACGGGUAGGGGACCUGAGAGGGUGGCCCCCCACAAUGGAACUGAAACACGGUCCAUACACCUACGGGUGGCAGCAGUAGGGAAUAUUGGUUAAUGGGACCGAAAGCCUGAACCAGCAACGCCGCGUGCACGAUGACGGCCUUCGGGUUGUAAAGUGUCUUUUUGGAGGGAAGAGGAAGGACGGUACCUCCAGAAUAAGUCUCGGCUAACUACGUGCCAGCCGCGGC